UCCACAGAAUGCCACAAAGGACACGAUCGAAUGCCUUCUCCAAGUCCACAAAACACUUGAAAGUGUGUACUAGAAGGGUGUACCUAAUAAAGUGGCCGAAAACUCGAAAGAGCACCAGAUUCCCAGCCGUAUCCGUUUGGCAAUGAGAAACAGUGAAUCUAAAACAGCAAAUGUUCUCUGCCUCUCAGGAUAUCAGAAUCUAGCAGCCCUUGAUCUCGACUGUGGCAGCGUGUGGAUUGAUGUGGGUAAUGUAGUCAAGGCCAGCUGUUAGCAAGAGGAGACGCACUUGUGUCAAACACACUGACCCCCAUUUCCAGCCUAAUAAUGCAGAUCCAUCCAGCUUCAGCCUGGCCCUGCGCUUGCAUAUGGAAAAGGUGUCAAACGCUCAGCGGAAAGCCAGUCUGUCCCCGAGGGCUCUGUCGCAUGAACUGUGUGUCACCUACAUGUCUACCCCUCAAGUGUGAUAACAGAUCUGUGUAUGAUCUCGGAAUACUGCCGACUCUUUAGCCCUGUAAUGAUGGCUGUAUGACAUUUGCUC
RNAcentral lists this long non-coding RNA (538 nucleotides) under Danio rerio (zebrafish). Its description in RNAcentral is "si:ch211-268b10.2 (ENSDARG00000097499.2)". The record is from RNAcentral. Lineage: Eukaryota; Metazoa; Chordata; Actinopteri; Cypriniformes; Danionidae.